Molecule: ribosomal RNA, 739 nt
Filed under: uncultured Bacilli bacterium
Lineage: Bacteria; Bacillati; Bacillota; Bacilli
Description: bacterial SSU rRNA
Rfam family: Bacterial small subunit ribosomal RNA
Source: RNAcentral
CUAAUACAUGCAAGUCGAGCGAGCGGAACCAACAGAUUUACUUCGGUAAUGACGUUGGGAAAGCGAGCGGCGGAUGGGUGAGUAACACGUGGGGAACCUGCCCCUAAGUCUGGGAUACCAUUUGGAAACAGGUGCUAAUACCGGAUAAUAAAGCAGAUCGCAUGAUCAGCUUUUGAAAGGCGGCGUAAGCUGUCGCUAAGGGAUGGCCCCGCGGUGCAUUAGCUAGUUGGUAAGGUAACGGCUUACCAAGGCGACGAUGCAUAGCCGAGUUGAGAGACUGAUCGGCCACAUUGGGACUGAGACACGGCCCAAACUCCUACGGGAGGCAGCAGUAGGGAAUCUUCCACAAUGGACGCAAGUCUGAUGGAGCAACGCCGCGUGAGUGAAGAAGGUUUUCGGAUCGUAAAGCUCUGUUGUUGGUGAAGAAGGAUAGAGGUAGUAACUGGCCUUUAUUUGACGGUAAUCAACCAGAAAGUCACGGCUAACUACGUGCCAGCAGCCGCGGUAAUACGUAGGUGGCAAGCGUUGUCCGGAUUUAUUGGGCGUAAAGCGAGCGCAGGCGGAAAAAUAAGUCUAAUGUGAAAGCCCUCGGCUUAACCGAGGAACUGCAUCGGAAACUGUUUUUCUUGAGUGCAGAAGAGGAGAGUGGAACUCCAUGUGUAGCGGUGGAAUGCGUAGAUAUAUGGAAGAACACCAGUGGCGAAGGCGGCUCUCUGGUCUGCAACUGACGCUGAGGCUC